RNAcentral lists this ribosomal RNA (497 nucleotides) under uncultured bacterium. Its description in RNAcentral is "partial 16S ribosomal RNA". It matches the Rfam family "Bacterial small subunit ribosomal RNA", at positions 28 to 507 of the family's 1533-position model. The record is from RNAcentral.
GAUGAACGCUGGCGGCGUGCCUAAUACAUGCAAGUCGAGCGAACAGACGAGGAGCUUGCUCCUCUGACGUUAGCGGCGGACGGGUGAGUAACACGUGGAUAACCUACCUAUAAGACUGGGAUAACUUCGGGAAACCGGAGCUAAUACCGGAUAACAUGUUGAACCGCAUGGUUCAACAGUGAAAGACGGUCUUGCUGUCACUUAUAGAUGGAUCCGCGCCGCAUUAGCUAGUUGGUAAGGUAACGGCUUACCAAGGCAACGAUGCGUAGCCGACCUGAGAGGGUGAUCGGCCACACUGGAACUGAGACACGGUCCAGACUCCUACGGGAGGCAGCAGUAGGGAAUCUUCGGCAGUGGGCGAAAGCCUGACGGAGCAACGCCGCGUGAGUGAAGAAGGUCUUCGGAUCGUAAAGCUCUGUUAUUAGGGAAGAACACAUGUGUAAGUAACUAUGCACGUCUUGACGGUACCUAAAGAGAAAGCCACGGCUAACUACGUG